CCACACAAUUAGCUAUCUAUAGCUAGAGAUCUUUAUUCUCAAGCAAAUGACACGGUCUGUGAUGUUUGUGAGUUGUGAUUUUGUAACUCCUGAUAUUACUGAGAUGGACUCUGUAACCUGAAAUGCUCAUUUGAGUCUUUCAGCUCGCCAGCAACCCAAAAGCCACUGCAGAAACAAAUAUGUUUUGCAGAAGGUUGGUUUAUUCCCUGGAUAUUUACUUGCCGGUUUGGGUUGGGGUAUUUUUUUUUUAAUUUGUUUUGUUUAUUUCUUCUUUUAUCAGCUCCAGCUGAGACAGAAGAGGGUGGGAGGAGGGUUUUGUUCCUCUGGAGAUAACAGGAGGCUGUGUCUGUGCAGCCAUGGUGACAAGAUCCAGGGCGCUUUCUGGCUUCCAAGCAAUUUGCUCCCCACCCCUGGCUCCCAAGUAAAAGUGGGGCAGAGAGAGAGAGGAGCUUUUGUUUCUCAAGUGCUUCAGCUGUUGCUACUAAUUAAGCGAAGAGCCCUAGUGCCUUCCCACCUCCCAAGCUUAAGGAGGGUCUAGUUGGGGUGAAAGGAGAGUCAAGAGUGUGCUGCUGCUGCUUUUCUGUACCCCGCUCUCACUAUAUGGCUCUUUUCAUCCUUUCUCUGCCUUGCUGGGUGACCUGUGGCCAACUCCACGCCUCAGAUUCCCUGGCUGCAGCAGGAAAGAAAUGAGAGAGACCAAGCUCAGCGUGAGGCCAGAUGGAAACUACCACCCUGCUGUUCAAGACUUCCCUGGAUGUCAUUCCCUUCUCUCUCUGAAAUGCCAGUGCCGUCCCCGAGCUCUAACAGCGUUACUGAAACCUCCCCGGUGUUGCCAGAAUGUGCUGGAGGAGCCAGAUGAACUGUCAACAACUAGGUAUCAGGCAAAUGGCCUUUGCACAGGGCAGUUGCACUUUUUUGGACAAGGAGAGCUGGCUGCGUGGAGGGCAGAGUUAGUGGCUGCUGUCAGGGCUGCAGGGGAACUACGUGGCCUCUGCCCAGUCUUGCAACAGGGACCACACACUGUGCCAAAGCGUUGCAUGCACGUGGGAAGGACCGCAGGUACGAAAAGAACGUAGAGAUGUGGAGAGAGAAAAAUGAAUAGAGGGAGUAGGAAUGCCGCAGGCAUCCAACAGGCCGUGGAACUGAGGAGCUAGCCCUGGCUCGGUCCCGCAGGAUGCCCAGUCCCCAAGGACUGAGGUAGCAGCCAAGGCCGUGGCUGCUCCCCGGGGCCUCUCCUCCCAUUGAGCUCACUUGGGUGUCUUCAGCCCAGGAUCUCCCAGGGAGAAAUUUAGGGCCUCGCUCAGGAACAGAUGGUCUCCCUCUUGGGCCCCAUCUGCCAGGCAACACUGGAGCAGUUGCUCUCUGCAGUGCUGAGCAGAAUCUUGUUUACUUUCCCCUCGUGUCAGCAAGGUGAUGUGUAGGGAAACCAAGCCCUGCUGUUACCAGCCCGGAUUUCCAGGAGCAGCCAGGAACUGAAAGGUGCAAGAGCAUAACCCAAGAUGUACCUUUGUGAGGGCCAGGCAACGUGGCCACAGCCCAGAUCCAAGAUGGAGUCCAGCCAAGAAGAGGGCUGUAGUUGCAAGGGAGCAGGAUAUUGUUUGGGAAGCCAUCGAUCCACACGCAGGAUGAAAGCACAUGGGCUAAAGGAGAAAUUUGGAGUGAAGUUUCACAAGGGGCAUCCUGUGAAAUCAUCCUAGGAGCAGUAUGCACGUGAGCCUUGUCUGUGAUGAACUGCUUAGUGCCCAGACUGCUGAGAGACAUGUGGUGCUUUUCGUGGAGGUCUUUGCCUCUGACUAUGCCUGGAGCCAAGUUCUGAGCAUGCGUUCAUGGUUCCUGAAUUGAGGAGGGGGCAAAAACAAGGCAGCAGCCUGCCUUCUAAGACCCAAGUUCUGAUACCGAAGCCCAGCAUCAAGGACUGCAGAGGAUAUCACACGUCCGUGCGCUAGCGCAUGUUUUCCAGAGACCUUGGCCCCAGAAGUCAGCUUGGCUCCUUGUGCUGGUGUUCAAUAGAUGCUUUCCGCUUCCUUUCUUCUGCCUGGGACAAUGGAUGUGCUGGGAUGGAACUGCAGCAAGCCCGGAGCUCACAGCAGCAGCCAGGACAUGGACUGGCCUGGAGCCUCCAGGAAAGAGAUUCUCCACGUCUCCCCACAGCAGCUGCUGGCUGAAAGCUUCGUCCCAUUCCCCGGUACAUGUCCCUGUCCCACGAGCCUGAGGACCCCCCCUAUGUGCCCCGUUGUCAGGAAGUGCUGCUCUGUUUGGGGCUACCUUGGAGCUGCUGGCACAACAAAGCUGUUUUGCUUUUGGCUGAGCACUCGGCAUCCGAGCUCUCAUGUGGUUGGAGCCCAUUUUUUUUUGCAAGAAUGAAAACAGUGGAUUAAUGAGCUGCUUGUGGCUAAUGUGCAGGGUUUCUCAGAACUGGUGCUAUUAGAGCCCAGCGUCAUGUAGGAGGUAAAUGGCAGCACAUGGUGAAUAAAGCAGUGAUAUAAUAGGUUUAAGUAGUCCAUUUCCCUUUGGAGUGUUACUGAUAACAUGCCCAAAUGCAUACAAGACCAUUACCUUAAUGAAUAAGACCGCUCUCUGGCAGAGCACAUACUGCAGCUCCUCACAAGGGGUUUAUUUUUCAUCAUUUUCAUCCAAAAAAAGCCUUGGGUGUUUGAGUUGGAGUGGGGUGUAGGGAGGGUAGAACAGAGACAGAGGGGAAGAGGAGAGCAGAAGAGAAGAAAUAUGGAUGAGAGAAGAAGGGAGAGAGAAGAAGGGAAAGAGAAGAAGGGGCAUAAAUAAAUGCACAGCAAGCACGUUAUGAUGGGACCAGCAUGGCCUCCAGGAAGCGCAGUAAGAGGAACUCGUACAGUCACGCAUGAAGAACAAUGAUCAGACAUUUGAUUUUGUAUAUUGAAAGAGACACAGCUUUGGAAGCAUCAUUGUCCACCGCCAGAAGUGAAGUGCUAUGAAACAUGCAGACAUCAACGGGCCGGUGCUCACUGUUCCCUCUCUUAGAUAUACGAUGACCGUGCGUUGCCUCUGGUCGUUCCAGCCAGUUCAGAAUUAGUAUCAGUGUGUGCUAAUUCUACCCACGCCAGGGGAGUUGCUCAGCCUCUGUGAUUAGCAUUGUAAAAUCCUGGUGCUCACUAAUGGACAGCAAGUUCUGGGCUAGUUAAGCAGCUCUCUGCUAGCUGGAGAUGCUCCACGCUGACACCACGGCAUUGGAGAGCAGAAUUUACCUCUACACCUUUCCUCAUCCAGUUUACUUUUCUCCUGGGAAGGGUGUGUAGAGCAGCAUUGCCUGGAAAUAUCUGUUGAAAGCACAAUGGCCACGUUUUCUGAAUUUGCUUCUAAUCAGUGCAGUGGGAUCUGAAUUAUACUGUCCUAUUACACAGUAACAUGUACUCUUGUGCCAACUAAAGCCUUGUUUUCUCCACCUUUUUCUGGAAUUUCUCUGCAAAAGAGACACUGGCUUCAAAUCUAGUGUCAAAUGACCCUGAAUUAACUGGAAUUCACCGCACGAGGUGGGUUUCACAGAGGUGUUAAUUCUGUAAGAGUGCACAGUGACAGCACCUAAUCCGUAGCAGAAUAAACACGAGGAGAACCAUGAAGGACCCCUGUUCCUAAAUGACUGAUUAUGAAGAUCCCCCUGAAAGCCUAAAACAUUUCUCAGCACGUUUAGCAAGACGAACAUGGUCUGGCUGACCCGCAGCAGAGGCACCCCCGUCCCGGUGCACCAGUUCCAGCAGUGGCUGCAGGACGAUGCUCAGGACCAUGCGCGAGGAUGGGGCAUGUAAAGAAAAAGGCUUCUCCUAGCUGUAGUCUUGUAGCUUCCAGCAAUCUGCAAGGACUGCCUGGAUGUUGCAUCCAGACUAUUAAGUUUAAUCGCCACUGAUAGACCAAACCUCCAUAAACUUGUCUAAAACCUUUUGAACCUAUUUAUACUUUCAGUCUACACAAUAUCCUGUGGCAAAUGAGCUUCAAAAUUUAAUUACGUGCUGUGUGAAAAAGCACUUCUUUUUGUUUGUUUUAAACUUGCUGCCUGGUAAUUUCACUGGGGCACCAAUGUCUUGUAUGUCGAGAAACAGCAUCUAAAAUAUCCAAGAGACACAGAAUCCCAGAUUUUAUUGAAAGGCCAUGUGAUUUUGACUUCUAACUGUUAAAACCACUUCUGAAAAUGGAACACAGGUCCUACUUUUAAUGCUUAUGAAAAUAUUGCCUCCAGUGCUUAUGUUUGCUCUUCAGGCUGUUUUUACUUUUUUUUUUCUUUUUUUCUUUUAACCUCUGCUUACAAGCUCUUCUAGCCCCUGACAGAUCAUGUUCUCAAGCUUCUUGUUUACUCAGUUAGCACGGGCUUUAUUUUUACAAUAUUAUCCUUGUAACUGCUUCGGCAGCCGAGAGCCCGUUGCUCGAGACAUGAACACAAACUCAGCCAAGGACAGGCAAGUUUGCCUGAAUGACCUCUUUCUCCUCAUUAUAUUUGCCAUGGUCUCAAUGUCACAAGUUCAAGUACAUGCGCAUGGGGUUUAAUACAACGCAGAGAUAAAGGCAGAGGGAUGGAGACUUCCACUGUGGCACGAACGUACUCCGCUACUGCUUGAUUGUGCCUUUUGCAGACACCUCAUUAAAAGUGUGUUCAUUUCACAUAAACAUACCUUUGUACUUUCACGAGCAUGCAUGCUCACAAACAUAAUUUGAACACGGUGGGGGACAGCUCACCCUGACACAAGUAUGUCUGAUUCCUUACGCACGCUUGCACGGAGACCUUGACUAUUUCAAGCAGUUGUUCAUUCGUAGCCUUUCAUCUCUACAUGGAAUCGUAUUUUCCUCUUUCUGUUAUUGACUUCCACUAUCUCAUAUGCUGUUUUGAACAUGCCUCCUCUUGCUUAAGCCUUUGAGUUUAGUCCAAAUAACAUUUCUUCUGCCUGAUACACCUCCUGUAUCAAAUGUUGGUAUCAACGGUUAUGCUGUGGCUUAAAAGUGAGUUCAGAGUCAGAGGAACCAGACCUUUUGAAUCUUUCUCUUCCCAUCAUGUAAAUGUGGUUUGCUACAUGAAGCCAUUCGUAUCUUAUACUCUUGCAGGCACAAGUUCUAGUCUGGAAGAUGAGAUAAAAGAUACUGGGCAGGCAUCUCCUGAAAGUGUCUUGAUCCGGAGAGUUAGCGAGGAUGCAUUGCCUUCCUGGGAAAAAGGAGAGAGAUUUUGCAUGUUUGAGACGUUUCCCUGAGUGUUUAUGUCCUUCAGCAACGCAAACCAUUGUGUCAGCAGGGAUAAAUCAGUGUUGCUCUACAAAAAUCAAUUGAAUGAAGCUGGCUUUCUGCUGCCAAGGAUCAGGUAUAUGCAGGAUUUGAAUGCAAGGUCUCCUGGCACAGCGUUAACAGCCUCUGGAGUCUUGUUGCUGCUAAUGCUUACCCCAUGGCUAACAAAACUGGAGCAGCAUUAAGAGCCUUGGGAAGUUCCCAUUCGAGCACACGGUGCAGAAACGCACACCCCUCCCAUCUUCUGCCAUCGCGGUGAGAGGGAGAAGAGGAAAGACAGCCGGCUGUAAGACCGCCCAGUGUAUUUGGAAGACUGGUAAUACGGGAAGUGCUAUUUGCCAAGUCAACUGUGUUUGUUAGUCCAGAGACUUUAAUUCCACUGCCAAGAGCUGCCACUCUGUGUACAUGUGUACAGCACGUGCUAGGCGUGUGAGACAACACGGAUACAACCACUGCGGCUCCAAGGAAGGGGAGAAGGAACAGGGAAGAUGGCAGAAGUCCCUGCCAGAGGUGUCAGGGCAUGCUGGUGGUCACUGCCUGUGCCCCUGCAGGUGCAUGCACAGGAAGCGACCUUGAGAUGGCCGCGUGCUCAGGGUGAGCAUGCAGAUAGAGUGAAAUACGAGUGUGAGCGUGUGUGCACGUGCAUGGGGGUGUCUCCGUCUGUGUGCAAACAAGCAGGUGUGUUUACAAACAAGUGAGCGAAUGUAAGUCUGCAGAAGUGCAUGCACAGAUGGAGACACCUGCAACCAGCGCAGGGUGUGUGCGUGGGGAUGUGUGUCUGUAGGGCAGGUGCAAAGAGCGGCUGUGUGUGUGGAAGCAGCGCGCUGGGGAAGGGAGAUGGGACGAGGCUACGUGGGAGCUCAGUGCCAGCUUGCACGGGCAGCUCGCAUCUGCGUGUCCAGUGGUGGAAAGCUGGGCGUUUCAUCUCUGUCCAUAAAGGUCUUUGAGAUAGGAAGGGGAGUCUUUAAACGCACCGAGGGAAAAGGGUGUCAAAUGUGUGCUGGAGCUCCUCUGCAGGAAGAGGAAAAUCCAUGGGGAUGGAGAAUGCGUCUCCAUUAGCACGUAGCAGUUGUUUUGUUUGUAGCACGGCUUCGGUUUGACGGGGCGUGUGGAGCGCUGUGCACGAGAGAUGUGUGCGUGGGCUGGGGUAGGUGCGCGGCAGCUCGCUGUGUGCACAGUGGAGGGGGGUGCAGGAGAGGACAGCGGGGAGGGCUGAGCCCAGGCGGUGUUGAGGCUCGGGGAUUCAAGCAGGGCUCUGUCAGAGCCGACCCGCUUUGGAGCAUCCCCAAAUUCAGUGCGGGCGCUUGUCUAUUUUGGGUGUUUCUCCGCACGCCUUCGCUUCCCAGCCCGCUGCCCUGGGCCCUCCGAACCGCGGCGUGCCGAGGAGCUCAGGCAGGAGAAGGAGCGGUUCCCUUGGAAACCUCUGGAUGCCCAGCAACAAGUCGCUGCCAGCAGCCAUGUGACAAGGUGCAUUAAUCAGGCAUCUCGUACGAAUCAGGUUCAUCCCAGACUUCCUCCACGAGAAAAAUCUGUCCGAUCUCCUCUCCCACUGGAACGAACCUAGAAUGCAAAUGAGUGAGCCAGAGGAGCCUCGGGAGGUGGAAAAGCCCAGGGAGAAAGAAUCUGUCAUGGAUGCGAUCUCAAAACAAACACGUCUCAUAGAAGGAUCAAAACCUGUCUCUUUUCUGAGGGAUCCUUACACACAGAGAUCUUUGAAGAACAAAGAAUUUAGGCACAGUUCUCACGACUUGCUGACGAAGGUGUAUUUGGCAAGAGAGGUAUCUGCAGCUUUACAUAACCUGAUAAAGUGCAACACAGGUACCAACACAAGCCCAAAGCUGAGAGCAGACAGCAGAACACAGGGGCAGACUGUGCUGGAUGGGAAACAAAUACCAGUUGGGUGAUGACUACACGUAAAAACCUCAGGUGAGUGCCUGAGUCUCACUGCAAGGGAAACUAUGCUGAAGACAGAAAUCAACUGACAUGUUCAGUCUGGAGGAAUCCCUCGGGGUACCAGCAGAAUGCAUUAACAGUGCAUUUCUCCAGUGAGAUAUGAUGGGAAGAGCACAGAGCAAAAAAGAAGAGAGAAAAUGAAGAAACAAUCUCUCGAAGGAUACAGCCUGACAGUAAUACCGCCAUCUGACUAAAAAGAACUCAGACAUACGCAUAAUCCUCAGGAAAAUUCAUCUCCACCCUCCCAGCAGACCCUGGUGAGAGCCCUUGAAGUGGUAAUUAAAGUCUAUUGAGUGGCAACUGCACCUGUUUAGAAAGGAGUGUGGGUAAGAGGUGCACAAAGGGAGAUGAGCAGCAGAGAGGGAGCGUGAGCGAGGAGCUGCUGGAGGUGGGGAAGAAGGGAAGCGUAAAGAAGAAAAGAUAUAUUUGUUGGAGAAGCCAAUCCAAUAAGAUGUAUAUUUCACAUUCUUCCCUUCAUUUGCUUUCUGCCUGCUCUUCUGCACCCCUUCACACAUGCAGCUGGCUUCUACCCCACUCUCACACCCACUGAUGGAAACUCCAGGGGGCUUUCCCUGGCUAGCCCGGGCCCUGGACCAGCAGCUGCUCAUCUGGUGUAAAUCAACAGAGUUCCACUGAAGUCCUGGUGGAGUUACAAUCAGCUAGCGCUCAUUUACGCCAGCUGAAGAUCUGUCCCAGUGACACUCAUUAACAGUCACUGGGCUCCUCAGACUGGCAGCUGGGACAUGCCAGUUCUUGUCUGCUGGGUUGUCUUUUUCCCUAGAAUAGAGCACAUCCCUUUGUGUGGGCUUUGUCACCCCGGUGUAAAUCCUACAGCAUCUGGGAUGAAUAAAUCAGAGAUGUUUCUGGAUUUCAGCAGACAUGUCUGAGAGCAGAGUCUAGGCAGAAACUGAGUGAAAGGGAGGAAUCUAGAGCAGUGCCUAUCAAUAAGACUGCUAGUUUUGCAUACACACGUGGCUCCAACAGCUUUGAACCAGUGUUAUUCUCAGAUAGAUGUUCCUAGGUACUAUGUGUGAGACAGUGCAAAAUGGGCUUUCUCAUGAAUACUGACAGUAACUGUGGAUUUUGACGUAGCCUUGCAGACUACCCCUGACCCGAGGACCACAGCUGGGGAACCACUGGUGUGUCCAGUGAAUUGUCACUUGGUGGGGAGACUUGGAGGCCAAAAUCUGUGAUAUGGUGGAAGUGGCAGCUCUGCCAGCUUCAAUAGACCAGUGCUGACUUGUGUCACCAGGUAAUUGCAUACUGGUUAGCUAAUGGCACAAACCAGCAGAUUAAGUGGUGAAAAAAUGGGGAAAAGAAAGACAAAAAAGUGGCAGGGGGAAAUCCUCCAAUGUUUGAGAAGGAGAGCAUGAAAAAGGGGACAUUCUUUGGUACGGACAUCUGGACUGCCCUAGUGACCAAGGAGCCAAAGAGCAGCACUGCAGAGUGAUACAGACGCUUGGCCCAAGGAAUUUGUCAUCCUGAGACCUGUGGAUUGAGAGCAGAAAUCCCAAUUCUUUCUGCCAUAAUCUCAACUUCAUCUUUGAUGCCAGUAAUCUUGGCAUUUCAGAUGAGGCUAUAAAGACUUAGUGCAUCACCUUUGCCUAAUUAGUCAAAGGCUCUAACAAUAGUGUUUUGUAGUAGCAUGCAAUCAUCCCUUACACUCUACCUAUGCCUACUCAUUUAACUCCCUUUAUCCAACCCCAAAAUGUCUUUCUUUGUGUGUUACUAUGCAUUUGCAAAGAGCCUACAGUAAUGUAAGCCCUCCCUUGUCACUGCAAUUCUAUAUGUGCCCCAGCAAUCAACUGAACAAAACUAGGUUUCCUGGGUUGAGAACAGAAGAGGAAAGAGGUUUAUCCUCAGAGCAGCCUGAGGUUGAGCUGCGCAAAUGAUUCAGGCAGAAUAAUUUGACUGGUGUUUGCAAAAUUUUCUCUCUCGCUGGACAUGAUGGCAAGCAGUCCCCUGUGAAUCCCUGACCUUCAUACUCUGCAGGCUGCCUGGGAUGGCUGAAAUAAACCACGGGACUUUGUCUUGAUCCCCGAUUGUCAGAGUACACAUCAAUUCUGGUGCAAAGUUGUUGCAUCUGCUUUCUACAAAUACUAGCAACGUCUCUGUAGCAUGCAGUCCUGAUAGCCGUACCGGGAAAUGCAUCCUUGUGAAUGAAGACAGAAAGGAAUAUGCAUUCAGCAAAAGCCAAUUCCUCUGGCUGUUAACGGUAGGAUUUGCAAUUUGUUGGCGAGAUGAUCCAACCUGCUCACAGAAAUUCAGCUACAGUUAACAGAGACAGAUAGAUAUGUCUGAACAACAAGUCACCCUACCAGUCAAGCCCUGUCUUAGGGUGAGAUUAAUUUUUGUACUGAUUACAGGGUGCCUACAUGACUCACUUUAACACAAAAUGCCUAACUGCUAUCAGGCUAGAGUUACAUGAGAGGAAUCAUACCUAAAAUACCUCACUUGCAUGUCUCCUAAACUCUAGUCUUGUCUGUUAACAAAAUCAUUGGGUACAUUAUUAUGAGAUACAUUGUCUCAUUUCUAUAUUUUUCUCCCAAAUACUUCUCUCUUUUUUUUCCUUUCAGCCCUCCUGUUCCUCAGCCUUUUUCUUUUUUUCCACCUUCCCUCUGAUUUCCGAGUAGCUUCUUGACUUUUCCAUCAAUAAGUCUAAACAGCAUUUGAACCAUUCUGUUCCCCCCUUCUCUCCUCCCUCCAGUUCCAAGUCAGGCAAGCGCAUCGAUCAGAGGAGCUCAAGAAAUAUCUGGUGUUUUGUUGUCAGGAUGAUAAUAACAUUGCAGUUGUGAAUGGGCUGCUGCAGGCCUGAUCACGGACACCUGCAGGGUUUGUUUAAUUGCAUUUAAUGACAAAUCCUAUACAGAGGAGCAUUGCCAGAGAGAUUUAUUAUCCACCAAAGAGGCAAAGCACAACAGCUCAAAAUAUAAUUUGCACUGAGCAUUUUUUCCCCUGCCUCUCUUUAAACCAUUGUAAUAAAUAACAAAUCGGGUAAAGUGGGCAACACUAGCCUGAGACAGAGGUGGGGGACAGAGGACAGAGAUUGAAACCAAAGGAAAUAACAGCAAUAAGGCCACACUGUUCUUUCUACCAUCCCUGUGGUCUGGUGUAUAGGAAAUACUGUUUGUUUAAUUUACAGCCUAGAAGUGCAGCUGGGGAUCUCUCUGUGAUGAGCCAGCCUCUUCUCAGAUAGCUGGAGGCUAAGCUCUUGAGUCCCUAUUCUUUCUAACCAGGCUUUUUUUCACCGUGUUCUGUAGCUAAGUUUAGAUCUUAUCUGUAAAAUCAAUUACAAAGAAACUACAGUGGCUUCUGAGCACUAUGGGUGUCACCUGCCACAAUUACAAGGAGGCAUGAGCUUCCACACUGUUGAAAUCUCUGGGACAAACUGCGAGUGGCAGAUCCCAUCCUGAAAAAUAUCACUUUGAGAAAUAUGGCCCUACACAGACAGAUCACUCUACCUGAAGUCUAGACGAAAGUCUCAUGCACCUCUGAGGCUGGAUGGAAUUUAUGUUUCCUACUAAAUGCCAUGCUCCUGGAAGCGAAAUCAUAUGUGUAUAAACAGCAGAGGACCUCAUUCCCUUGCUCAAGCCAUAAACAGUCACUUCUCUCUUGAUUAUUAUGUGCUUGUCUAGUGACAACUUGUGGCAAAUCCCUUCCCCAGUGUGGUAUAUCACUGUGCUAGGCAGAGUGCAGUUCCAGAACAACUGUGAGUGUUGUCACCUGAGAUGGGGCAGUUGGACCAGAUGAUCUUUGAAGGUGCCUUCACUAUUCUAUUCUAUUCUAUUCUAUUCUAUUCUAUUCUAUUCUAUUCUAUUCUAUUCUAUUCUAUUCUAUUCAUUAUAGUCCAAGUUAGCACUUCCCAAACCAUUUUCUCUCUCAAGUUCAUAAGUCAUCUUUGUUAUUCACCCUCUCAUCUAAUUACCCUUGGCAGAAUACUGAAUUGUCCUGGCCAGCUUAUUUCUAAAAAUUGUCCCUCCUCCCCCCUCGCCCUCUCCCCAGGCAUUUUCAUCAGUACACUUUGUGGUAUGGCAGAGGAUAUGCUACAGUUUAGAGGAAAUGCCUUAAUUUCGGAAAUCCAAGCACACGCCAGGAACAGGCAUGCAUCAAAGUAAAGUUGUAUUCAGUGUGAGCAAGGGGUGCAUGCUCUCUAGUGUUCUACUUUACGUUCAGAUUAAAUUUUGCACUUUAAAUGGUGCACACCGGGAAGUCUGGGGAUGAUGGUGAGCUUGUACCAGAAAAUAUCACCCAGGACUGUCCCUUCUGCAGUGUUUGGUCUCUAUUUUAAUGUAGGCUACAAUCGGCAGUUGGCAAUGUCAUUACACAAACACGGUGUAGGGUAACACCUGGACUGCAGUUUUAUCUGAUUUCCUGGACAAUGGCAGUAUCGCUAAUACCCCCUGUUAAAUAAGACCACCUGGACAUCUCCUGGUAUCAGCUCCGGCUAUCACAAACACACUUGCUACCUAGGCUAGCACAAAGGAUUGUUAUCUCUUGAGCAGCGCAAAUCCCCAGAUUGAAACAACCCAUCUGGAGUUUGAUUAAAGUGUCCAUAGAAAGCACAUAUGUUUAAAAAAAGAGAGAGGGGGGAGAGGGAGGGAGAGGUUGG
This is a long non-coding RNA of Cygnus olor (mute swan), 11800 nucleotides long. RefSeq lists it as uncharacterized. The transcript is spliced from 10 exons. The record is from RefSeq and is a predicted model, not a curated record. Lineage: Eukaryota; Metazoa; Chordata; Aves; Anseriformes; Anatidae.